AUCACUGCAGCUAGAGCAGAAUCGUACAAAGUGAUGCGCAGUGUUUCAAACCUGACAUAAUUCUCCGACGAACUUUCUGGGAACUGCCUUCUGCGUUUCGACCCAGUUUGUGUGAAUACGCGACUGAGAAAUAAUGGCAUCAAAUAAGACCUCCAACAACAACCUCAAUGGAUCGAAAACUUACGCUGGAAAUACGGCCUCGCCUACCGGCAAAGCGUGCCGACGGUCGUUGGUGCUGUGGACGAUACUGACAAGCGGACUAGUAUACGCUCUUGUAUUGUGGCACCAGCAAUAAGCAGUGGUAUCAGCCACAACCGGCACUCAGCACUAACUUCACCAGAAAUGUAUCAUCGACACGUGUUUUGUCAUCAAAUGCAACACAAGUUCUAAAUGCGACCUCGAAACCUAUAACAGAAGUACAACUAUGGGGUUAAGGUGGUCGAGAUGAGCCGGAAGCAGCGAAUCCUUCACUAUUGCCAUGAUGCCACCACUUCGGUUAAUCCUGUCACGUCGGAUAGUGAAAUAUCCAGGUAUGCUUAGGACAUUAUUUGCUGACAGCCAUGCCUCUGUGAUGCAGACAAUGUCCACAGGAUGAAGCUCCAGAAAUGACUGCAUGUCCUGUUUCUUACUACAGAUACUACGAACAUUGAGAAUUAGACCGGAGAUGGAAUUCCUGUAAGUCUUUGAAGAUGCAGGGAAGUCCAAAGGAUAGUUCUUCAAAUUAUUUUCAGGUCCCAAUGUAGAAUUGAGCUCAUGAUUACUGCCAAACUCCUCAUGGAAUGAACUGUCAGAGCAUGAGAAAAUGGCAGCUUGUACACACAGUAUGGGCAGAACCAGUCCACAGUGCUAGAUAUUAACUCAUUGUACUGGGUGAUUGACAUUUCAGUGAUGCAUUUCUAAUGCCAAACUUUGUUGCAGUCUUCCCAGAGAAGAGAUCUCUUAUUACUUUUCACUGCGUGUGACCUCGGUUGUAAUAGUCUAUAUUUUACCUUCACCUGUCAUAGCGUAAAAAUAAAUAUGACAUUUACUUUCGUAUAAAGGGUCACCUUUGCCAGACCUUUUACACAAAAGAUGACCUCGUGCAGUUCUGCAAAACAGGUUGACUCAUUGUACAAAAUAAAUAUGACGAAUCUACUUUCGUAUAAAGGGCCACCUUUUACCUUCACCUGUCAUAGCGUAAAAAUAAAUAUGACAUUUACUUUCGUAUAAAGGGUCACCUUUGCCAGACCUUUUACACAAAAGAUGACCUCGUGCAGUUCUGCAAAACAGGUUGACUCAUUGUACAAAAUAAAUAUGACGAAUCUACUUUCGUAUAAAGGGCCACCUUUUACCUUCACCUGUCAUAGCGUAAAAAUAAAUAUGACAUUUACUUUCGUAUAAAGGGUCACCUUUGCCAGACCUUUUACACAAAAGAUGACCUCGUGCAGUUCUGCAAAACAGGUUGACUCAUUGAACUUAGUCUUUUGUUCCGCGUUUUGCGCUGUCACUGCUCUAGGGCUAUACACAACUAUACCCUUAUAAAAAAUCCACUAUAGUUUCACCAUUAUAAAUUUGUAGUUUUACUAUAGUUCAUCAAAGUUUACUAUGAUAAGUAUAAUAUAUGUAAAGUGUUGUGUAAGGUAAAGUUACUGUAAUUUUACUAGAGUAAAUACUGCAGUAUUAUUGUAGAAAAUUUAAAGUUAACUUGUAGUAAAUAUAUGGUGCCGUAUUAAAGUUUACUGCAGUUUCACAUCAUACAAAAACUAUAGAAACACUAAAGUACGACUACAGUUUUAACACUCUACGUUCUACACAUUUACUGUAGUUUCAAUACAUCCAAAAACUGUACUAUUACUUUUUUAAACGCUGAAGUAGGACUAUAGUUUUAACACAAUACUUUCUGCAUAUUAACUGUAGUUUCACUGCAUCCAACAAUUGUAGUUUUACUUUUUAAAAACUGAAUAUAGGACUACAGUUUUAACACAAUACUUUCCGCAUAUUAACUGUAGUUUCACUACUUCCAAAAACUGUAGUAUUGCUUUUUAAAAACUGAAAUUAGGACUAUAGUUUUAACACAAUACUUUCUGCAUAUUAACUGUAGUUUCACUGCAUCCAAAAGUUGUAGUUUUACUUUUUUAAAACUGAAGUUAGGACUAUAGUUUUAACACAAUACUUUCUGCAUAUUAACUAUAGUUUCACUACAUCCAAAAAUUGAAGUUUUACUUUUAAAAAAAAAAUGAAGUUAGGACUAUAGUUUAAUUUUUUGCAUAUUAACAGUAGUUUCACUACAUCCGAAAACUUUAGUUUUACUUUUUGAAAACUGAAGUGGGACUACAGUUAACACAGCACUUUCUACAUAUUAAUUGAAGUUUCACUACAUCCAAAAACUGUAGUUUUAGUUUUAAAAGUGAAGUGGGACUACAGUUUUUAACACAGUGCUUUCUUCUGUGUCACUUUUUCACCAAAACUCAACAACAACUUCAAAUCUAAAGUAAUCAUAUUAGUCUUGUAACAGUUUUUACGUGUAUUUGUACAUUACAUGUAGUUCUUCAAAUCUAACGUGUACUCAUUUUUCAGCAGAAAAAUAAGCCAUACGAAUUACUUAAGUACGUGUAGUCAUGUUUCCAAAAAUAAUAUGCCUUGUGGAGACUUGACAAAACUGCAUGAUCUCCAUACAUCGAACUGCAUGUGAGGGACACCAAAUAAUUAGUCUACCACUCGCAUUCUGAACCAUGCAACAUAUUGAAUAUGCUACAGCACCAUAUCUGCACAACACAGUUUAUUGAGCUAAACAGGAAACAGCCCACAUGUUACAUCAUCAAGAGAAUCAUAUGUUACAUGCCUAGCCGAACACACACACACAGCAUGCAUAGUGUAGCAUAUAUAGGCAAGUCACAAUACGCAAUGACCUUGCAUACCAGAUAAACGGUCAGUGUGGAAAAUUUGAAAACUGCAUUCAGUUGCAAUAAUGCUGUAGUGCUUUGCAAGAGGCCAGAAAAGUUGAGUUAAACUGGGUCAAAAUCAUGCCAAUUAUUUGCAUGACAUGUGUGCCUGAUGUGGACAUAGGUUACUGUUCAUGUGCAUACGCAUCCAUAUCCCACAUGGUUAGCAUGUAGAAAUACACUGGAUGGAUGAUCGGUGGACAUGUUGGAGCUUAAGAGUUAUAGACAUGAUGAUGCCUGGCAUGGUAUGCCUGGACCAUGGAGAAAUGCCUGGACUCUUGUCUCACGGAGUCACGCUUCACAAUCACAAGCUGUUGUAUGCGAUACAUCGUACAGCAUUAGCACCAAGAACUUAUCCCCCAACCCCUGACAAAAGUUUGGUCAUGUUGGUGAUGUGUAAAAACAUGUAUUAUAAACCACAGCAAUCCAGGUAUUCCAUUCAGCCAUACAUACUGUACAUAUGUUUGUUACUCUAUUAAUUUACUUGGGCUCAUGGGAAAUUUCACAACAAGAUUUCAUUGCAUCCUACUUUUGCCAAGAACAAACUUAACAAAGAAAGUUUAGCAAUAAAUUAUAUUCAAUUUCAGGGCAAGCUGAAAAACAUGUAUAUGCUGGAAGUACAUUUUCAUAAUUUUACCUUUUACAAGGCAUUGCAGAUGAUAUGCGUAUUACUUCAUUAACAUGUAAGCUGUGGGCAGUCUUUGUUUGUUUAAAGUUUCACAGUCACAACCCUUCAAUUCAAACUUUGAAAACUAUUCUUGUUGAUAGAUGGCCCAUUUUCAUUAUAAAAGACACUUUGAACAGACAAAUGUGCUUUUUGUGGCAAACAUUGUCACAAUAAAACCGGGGCUUCGUUGUGUUUAAAGACUGCACCAUCCCCUUUGUAAUAACCCAAACUUAAGUGUAUUCAGCUGUAUUUUUCAGCUGUUUAUUUUCCUGUUCAUAACUUUUUUAAGACCGUAAUAUUUUUAAGGUUAAAAUGUUUUGCUGUUAUCAACUCGAUAUACAUGAACAUGUAGGUUUAAUUUUAUACAACAGUCUUGGAUGCAUACAUUGUGUGCAUGGAUUUGUACAAUGUGAACAAGUCCUUUUUCUAAGAUACAGAUUUAAGACACCCUGUUUGUGCAGUCAUGAAGCAAAAUUUGAGCUUAAUUGAAGGAUUAGACCAUAUUUUAAUUGCCUUCAAAAACCUGUGCAUUCCUGUUUGAGAAGAAUGCUUGUGUAUGCAUUUUUGAACAUUUGAUUCAUGUUUAGUUAAAUGAUUUUUUUAUUUUUGCACUUUUUAGGGUGACAUGUCAUUUAAACAUCAUAAAUAUGUUAAUGUUAGUAAAAGUAAUGUACAUGUAUUUAAUACUUUUUUGCAGGUGCCAUAUAAGCCAGGUGCCACAACAUUGACGUACAUGUACAUGUUUAUUGUUUAACUUAGUCUCUUUUUGCAGAUAACAUGUGUAACACAAGUAUGAGCUGAUAACUCCUUCGUUAUAUUUUUCAAUUUAUUUUACCCUUUGACAAGUUCAAUUUACUGUCUUUAAACACUUUUUGCAUCAAAACAGUUCUUUAGCUCAUUUAACAAAUAACUGAAAGUGAAGAUACAAUUUUUUUCAAGUACAUGUACAUGUAUUUGCUCAACUUGUGAAAUGUAAAUUUUAUUUUAUUUGUGUGA
This 4584-nucleotide long non-coding RNA is filed under the name Patiria miniata (bat star). RNAcentral describes it as "uncharacterized LOC119723766". Lineage: Eukaryota; Metazoa; Echinodermata; Asteroidea; Valvatida; Asterinidae. The record is from RNAcentral.